Drosophila takahashii is the source of this 163-nucleotide non-coding RNA. The record is from RefSeq and is a predicted model, not a curated record. Lineage: Eukaryota; Metazoa; Arthropoda; Insecta; Diptera; Drosophilidae.
GAAAUGGCUACUCCUUCAAAAAUCUCGAAGCGCAGUUUCACAGAUUUUUCCUUUGACGAACCUUUCCAACAGCCGUCAGUGUGCACAAAUUGUUGCGAAGUUAAGAAGCAAAUCGCGGAAAUAAAUGAAAAACUUGAGGAAAUAAUUCUUUCUCUUGCGGAAC